GGGGGCGUAGCUCAGUGGUAGAGCGCUGGCCUUCAGACCCGGGACUUGCGUGGGUUCGAUUCCUGCCGCCCCUG
Molecule: non-coding RNA, 74 nt
Organism: Glomus cerebriforme
Lineage: Eukaryota; Fungi; Glomeromycota; Glomeromycetes; Glomerales; Glomeraceae
Source: the annotation of a GenBank genome assembly